RNAcentral lists this unclassified non-coding RNA (2927 nucleotides) under Hevea brasiliensis (rubber tree). The record is from RNAcentral. Lineage: Eukaryota; Viridiplantae; Streptophyta; Magnoliopsida; Malpighiales; Euphorbiaceae.
UUUUCUUCAUAAAAUAACGGCAUUAGUUCAUUAGUUGUAUUUUAAAGACAGCAAGUGAAACAUAAAAAUACUCGUGUAUCCAAUUGAUAAAUUUUUCCUCCUACGAGGCAGGCGAACUGAAGUUCAUUAUCACAACAGAAUACAGACAUAUUCUUGUAAAGAUCCACUAAUACUAAUACACCACAAGAAGCCUGUGCUAGAAGAACUCGAAGUCCAGAUACUUACCCCCAGACUUCAUGUCUGCCCCCACCACUCUUUUACUGCUGCUGUGCACCCCAAUUGGAUCAACUGCCCCAAAUUUCCCAGGUAGCUCAGUCUCCAUGGGUCUUGGCACUUCUGGAGGUGUGCUGCACCUUAUUAGAGCCCAAUUUACACCUUCAAAGAAAGCGUGCUGCUUGAUCUCAGUUGCACCCCUCUUCACUCCCAACCUGCUCUGUGGUUCCUUCACCAGCAACCCUCGGAUCAAAUCUCGGCUAGCGUAGCUGGUUGCUGGAGAGUCUGGGAAUCUAAGCUGUUGCCCCACCACAUUGAACAGCGUAGCACGAUUCCCUGAGCCUUUGAAUGGGGUCUUUCCAUACAGUAGCUCAUGCAAGAAAAUCCCAAAUGUCCACCAAUCAACAGCACUACCAUGGCCUUCUCCCUUGAUAAUUUCAGGGGCUAGGUAUUCAUGGGUUCCAACAAAGGACAUGGACCGGGCUGCAGUGGGUUCUGCUACAAGCUCAGGAAGUGCACUAGUAGGCAGUCCAUGCUCUGCUCGAGGAUUUCGAGUCUUAUUCUUACUUUUUUGAGGGAAGAUUCGAGGAAUGAAGCAUGCAGGCUGGACACAUACAGAUGAGGGCUCAACACAGGCAGGCUGAACACAAAAUGCACCCCCACCAACUCGUUUUGAAGGAUCAGAAUCAAAUGAGGUUUUUAUCAGGGUGGGUGAAACUGCACAUCUAAGGGAAAGAUCGAAAUCUGAGAGCAUUAUGUGGCCAUCAUCACGGACAAGAACAUUUUCAGGCUUCAAGUCCCUGUAGACAACUCCAAGCAUGUGGAGAUAUUCAAGUGCCAACAAAACCUCAGCAGCAUAAAAUCUUGCAGCAUACUCAGAAAAAUGUUUCCCAGGUUGCCGUUGCCUCAGAGUGUGCAGAUCACCCCCUGGACAGUAUUCCAUGACCAAACAUGAGAAUCUGUCAGUUUCAAAAUGCGUAUACAAGGUCGGCAGAAAUGGAUGAUCCAACAGCUGCAAAAUCUCCCUCUCUGUCUGAGCCCUAGUCAACUUCUUCCUGCUUGCAAGAGAUGUCUUGUCCAUUACUUUCAUUGCAAAACAAGAACGAGUUCCACUCAGUUCUGAAAGAUACACACUACCAAUGUCGCCACAACCAAGCUGUUUUAGCAGUCUAAAGUGACUCAUGCCUAAAAUUCCAUCUCGUGUUCGGAUGGCAAGAAUAGCUUUCCACCUAGGAUCAUUUCCUUUGUGGGGCUUGUUUGCACUCCCAGUAAUAUUGCUCCAAUUGCUGUCAUCACUGAGGCCACUGCUAUCACUUGCACGGCUAACACUGGUCUUUGCACUCUCAAGUGAAUCUCCUCUGAGACUAACACUCCCUUUAGUACUCUCGCAGUUUCUCUCCAUACUCAGCAUGCCAUCACUUGUAAUAACAUCACUUCUAUAUGUACUGGCACAGCUAUUAACGAUGCUCAUGGCUGUGACAACACCAGUACUGUCAAUGCUACUAUGUGGACUUACAUUACCACUCGGAGGCAAAGAAGCAUCCCACACACAUUCUUUCUCCUCUGAAUCAUGCGGGAGGAGAGAGUUUUCUCUAUUUUGAGAUGCACGAGGAACUGAAAAUGGCGAAGACAGAGUGACUAAGUCAUUAGGUUCUUCAACCAAAUUUUCUGCUGGUGAAAGAACAGGUGGGCUUGGUUUCUUAGGUGGAACCCUGAUUGAAAGGUCUUCUAGGAAAGGCCCCUUCACAGACAUACUCUUCAUGAGGCAUCCAGCCUCAGAUUUCUUCUGCCUUAUUGGUACAUACGUCAUUGUUUUCAUUAGAUCUGUAUCAACUGGCUCAGGUGGAUGACUAGCCCCAGAGAAAGAACUUGGGCCACCUUCAUCAAAGGAAUCACUGCUUCCCUUAGAAGUAACAACAUCAUGCAUUAACUCUUCUUGCACAAGCAAAGUGUCUUUUCCCUUCCACGGUCUUACAAGUUCAUUAGAGUCAGUAACUUGGGAGCCUUGUGCAUUAAAUUGUCCCAUUACUUCCCUUACCAAGCUUGUCUGCAGCUUUGGUACCUGACCUCCUUCUCUCCCCAAGGCCACGCGUGUAUUUGAUACCUGACACAAAACAGGUAAUUUACCAGGAAGAGCCUUUGAUUCUGGUACUCUCUCCAUAUCCAGUAACCUCAUAACAUUACAUGUAAUUAUGUUUCAGUGAAAACCCUGCAAAUGGAGAUUGGAGAAUUCAGUAGGUGCUUCAUUUUACUGUAGAUCUGAAUCACCAUCAAGCACUUAUCAUUCAUUAUUUUCCUAAUAAAUCCACUAUAUCCAUUUAUAGUUCUGAUGUGAUCAAGGAGCAUAAAGCCAUUCAGCACCUCCCAUCCCUUUGCAGUGAAACGAAGAAUAGGAAUCUGUACGGAGUAUUAUGCACAAGAAUCUCAGGGCAUGUGUGAGGGUAAAGCUUGACAGUUCGAAUUGCUUGCUGUUUCUCUCUCUAGAAGCUUUGAAAUAACAGCAAUUAGAGAUUUGUAGAGCCCGAGCUAUCAAAGCUCGAGCUCCUCCUAGUUCCUUCUCUCUCUGUCUCCAACAUUUGCAGUUUCUCUCUCCUAGGGUGGCUCUGUAACUAAACAAGCUUUUGCUGAUGGGCUAUUGGCAGCUUUUGCUUUUUCUUUUUUCUCUUUGCUUUGUCUGGGCAGUUUGCACUUUAGCUGAGAGAGAGAGAGAGAGC